RNAcentral lists this ribosomal RNA (454 nucleotides) under uncultured bacterium. RNAcentral describes it as "partial 16S ribosomal RNA". It matches the Rfam family "Bacterial small subunit ribosomal RNA", at positions 28 to 507 of the family's 1533-position model. The record is from RNAcentral.
GAUGAACGCUGACAGAAUGCUUAACACAUGCAAGUCAACUUGAACUUCGGUUUGGGUGGCGGACGGGUGAGUAACGCGUAAAGAACUUGCCUCACAGAUAGGGACAACAUUUGGAAACGAAUGCUAAUACCUGAUAUUAUGAUUUUAGGGCAUCCUAGGAUUAUGAAAGCUAUAUGCGCUGUGAGAGAGCUUUGCGUCCCAUUAGCUAGUUGGAGAGGUAACGGCUCACCAAGGCGAGGAUGGGUAGCCGGCCUGGGAGGGUGAUCGGCCACAAGGGGACUGGGGCACGGCCCUUACUCAAGCGGGAGGCAGCAGUGGGGAAUAUUGGACAAUGGACCAAGAGUCUGAUGCAGGAAUUCUGUGUGCACGAUGAAGUUUUUCGGGAUGUAAAGUGCUUUCAGUUGGGAAGAAAAAAAUGACGGUACCAACAGAAGAAGUGACGGCUAAAUACGUG